AGCGCUCUGACCUUAGACCAAGCAAUUAAACACCAAUAAAAAAGAAAAAAAAAUAGUGAAUAAAAUAGAAGGGUGUGGACAUUCUUUGGGACCUUGGCUUUUAGUGGGACUUGAGUGACGGGGUGUUAGUGUUAAACUUUUACGAUUCUUGAUGGGGAUUCUGUGGAAGUAGUAGUUUUUGUCUUGUCUCAAUAAAAGAGCAUGCUUGCACACACUGGCACUCCACACUUGUAAAUAGAAGAGUAAUUGACUUAGUAGCGAGAGAGAUGAAAUUCGAGAACAUUAGCACAAUCUGAGAUAUUAUAAUUGACAAGGCAAUUACUUCAUAGUUCACUCAUUCAUCACGUAGUUGCAUUCAUGCAUUGCAUUGUAUUAUUGUAUAGUGUCGUUGACGCUUGAGGACAAGCAUCAGUUUAAGUUUGGGG
Molecule: long non-coding RNA, 425 nt
Filed under: Daucus carota (carrot)
Lineage: Eukaryota; Viridiplantae; Streptophyta; Magnoliopsida; Apiales; Apiaceae
Description: long non-coding RNA (DCAR_LNC006706)
Source: RNAcentral